AUGGACCAAACUGGCCGAACCGAAUCACGGAUAUCUAUAACACAAUAUCCAGUGGCGCUGGUUUUCAAUUCUGGUGAUUUCUAGAGUUUUGCGGUGUGUAAUGUUUAGAGAUGUGGUUUGGGUUUGUGGGGACUGUUUCAUUUUUAGAGAGGUAGCUUGACCCCAUUGACGAAUUUUUUCAUAGCAGCUUCAAAUCAACCUUUCUCCUCUCAGUGGGUCAUCUGCUCUGUUUCUUCCACAAGUAUAUCUAUGUAUACAUUCCGAGGACAAGUUCGUCGCGGCCAACGUUGAUACUUUUGAUUCCAAAGUUGCCUCCUUUAUAUCUCACAAAGCAGUGCUGCAAUUCUCACAAGUUGGACUGCCUUCUAGUUAGCCUACUUGAGCAUUUUCAUUUCUUAUGCUGAAAGAGCUCUACAUGCAUCUCUUCUUAUUAAGUUUUUGUUCUAUUGGUGUCCAUUGUCUUUGUCAGCUUAAGUUCUUGGACUACCUACAAUGGGAGGCAAUUAUUCGUUGGAUACUUGAGUACUGCUUCACUAAUUUUCAUACAAAAUGCGUUGAGUUCAACAACAACAAAGCCUUUUCCCACAAAAUGAGUUGAGUUCAUGCCAUUUAAUCUUUUCUUUGCAACUUUCAUAGUGAGUUUCUCAUUCACUGGACAUGGAGUGUUCAAGGUGAACCUUUUUCUCUAUGUAAGUACUAUAUUUUCUUCAAUCCAAAAUUUUAGCAAUUAUAUAAUCUCGCCCAUCAUAGCACAUAUUCGUCAUUCUCAUUUCUUGGUCCAUAUUGCAUCUUAAAACGUGGUUGAAUGUCCUUCACAUCAAGCACCAAUCAACCAUAUCACACUUGCAUUGCAUAAUCAUUAAGUUCAUUUCUUCAAUAUUUUGGAUGUAGAUGCCAAAUGGUAUUGAGAAACAAUUUUAGCCUUUGUACAGUUGGUUCUAUUCUUCUGAAAAAGAUGCGGAAGAAGAACCAUUGAUAGUUGCACAUCUGUGUUGCAGAGAUUUGAUUCAAAUUGGUGGAUUUGUUGAGGACUUUGGUACAAUGAAAGUGUUAAGUUUGUGAUCUUCGCUAGAUUGCUCCGGUCACUAGUGUGGAUAAGUAUGUAAAUGGAUAGAGACAGGGAUGCAAACACAAGAUGUACGUGGUUCACCCAGAUUGGCUACAUCCACAGAGUAGAGGAGUUCUUAUUAAUUGUGAAGGGUUUACACAAGUACAUAGGUUCAA
This 1224-nucleotide small RNA is filed under the name Malus domestica (apple). RNAcentral's name for it is "sRNA MD09G0175500". Lineage: Eukaryota; Viridiplantae; Streptophyta; Magnoliopsida; Rosales; Rosaceae. The record is from RNAcentral.